Molecule: long non-coding RNA, 270 nt
Organism: Choloepus didactylus (southern two-toed sloth)
Lineage: Eukaryota; Metazoa; Chordata; Mammalia; Pilosa; Megalonychidae
Exons: 3
Source: RefSeq, a predicted model, not a curated record
GGAAAAACAUCAUUCUCUAUCAGUGAAAAUGACAUCAUCAAAUGCCAAAUUUACCUAGAAAACUGAGGUUUCAAGAGGCAAUGCCAUGUAUCCAGGCAUGUGGUGAUAAUGUACUUCCUGAUUCUCAUAUGGUUGGAAGAGGUGAUGGGACUACUUCUGAUCAAUAAAUUUGUCCCUGGCUCUGAGGAAGUUGGAAAUCAUCUUGCCUGGGGCUUUCUGGCUUUGUGGAUCCUCAUCUGAAAGUGGUGGUGACAUAAUUUUACCCCUCCC